CGGACUUAAAAUCCGUUGGCUUUAUAGACCAUGAGGGUUCAAGUCCCUCUACCCCCA
Molecule: transfer RNA, 57 nt
Filed under: Frullania davurica
Lineage: Eukaryota; Viridiplantae; Streptophyta; Jungermanniopsida; Porellales; Frullaniaceae
Also listed under: 7 other names
Description: partial tRNA-Leu
Rfam family: tRNA
About the family: Transfer RNA (tRNA) molecules are approximately 80 nucleotides in length.
Source: RNAcentral